RNAcentral lists this long non-coding RNA (5748 nucleotides) under Nicotiana benthamiana. Its description in RNAcentral is "long non-coding RNA (NBEN_LNC007727)". Lineage: Eukaryota; Viridiplantae; Streptophyta; Magnoliopsida; Solanales; Solanaceae. The record is from RNAcentral.
CCAAAUUCCCCAAACCCUAGAAAAGUCAGAAACGACGGCCACACCCUAUUGUUCAUCUUCUUCACUGAGCCCAAUCCCAACUCGCCUGGAACUCACCCAAGUUCACUCAAAACGGUCCCCUCUCUCCACGUCAUUUGGUUAUUUUAUGGGUGUUAUUCCUUGGUCAUUCAUGAUGGGCUGUUUGUGAAGCUGUUUUGAGUCCAAAUAAAUCAUGUGCUAUUAGCUAUUUGUUGUGAAUUACUCCUGCUGCUACUGUUGACUCCUUCUUCUCCUCAUUACUUUUAAUUUUUCAGGUAUUUGUUUCUCUCCUGAUGUAUUGAUGCUGAGAUUGAAGUGGAAAUGCAAAUGAAAUUUUUUUACCCCUGUGCUUAUUGAGCUCUGCCUGUUUUGGACCACUAUGUAUUGAUGCCUAAAUAGUUUAGACAUAAUAGCUUAAUGUAGCUUAGUUAUGAUUUGCAUAUGACUGUACAAUUGGACUGAAACUAGAUUAUAAUUAGACUGUAUUAGAUGAUAGAUGUUCAAUUUAUGUACCGUAUGAAUUGGUCCGUGAAUUUGUUUCAUAAAGUAUAAAGCAAUCACAAUUACUUGAAGCUUUCGUUUAUAUAAUUGGGUUGUAGAAACGCAAGCUGUCUGCAAGUUGCCUCACCAGUAUGGUCUACUGUAGUUUAAUUUCCCUUAAGUAAUUAACCUGGUCCUAGAUUUCAAAUUGUUAGGCUAUAGUGGAUAUGUGAGUAAUUAGUGUGGAUACUUCCUUGCCUAAUGUAGUUUUGUUGAUGGUCCUUAUGUGCAAUGAAACAUGCGAAUAGGUAAACACUUAAACAAAACUGGGCCGUAAAAUUGGAGUUCGAACUCAUCCUUUCUAUAUUAACAAUUUAGGGUAGCAUAAGUUGAAUCUAUGUGAUGAUCGUGUUUUUCCAUUUUAAUAGCAAAUCCAGUAAUGGCAUUUAGUAAUCUUAGUUUGAAUCAACCUAAAAACAGUUAGGUUUUCACGAUCGUGUUUCCAGUCGCUAAAUAAAUAAGUAAUCCAAGCCUUAAACUAGGAUUCUGGUGAUCACUAUUUUACUGAAUUCGAAUAGGUCAAUAUGGUUUUUCUUUGAUUACAAUUGUUAAACAUGUUUUGAACAAUUUUGGCAAUCUCAGUGAAUAUUUCUUCAAUUUGAGUUGGGGAUGGAUUUGGUGUUAAUAAGCAGGGAUAAAUAGCCCACCUCGGACAUCUUGGACCUCAUGACCUUAACAGACCGCCCAGGUCCUUUCCUAAUAACGCGUGCAUUUAGACCCCGGCCCUGGUUUACACUUGGCUUGUUUCUUGGGCAUACAUGGAUUAUGGCUCCUUUAUAUGGGUACGUCCAAGGCCCGAACUGGAUAAGUGUCCGAGUCUACAUGAAUUCUUGGACCUAAAUAUAAUAGGUCUUAAAUAAUGAGUAAAUUAGGAUUUUUCUUUUUUUUUUUUAGAGACAAAUAAAAUAAAGAAUUAGAGAUGUUUUAGGUUGCCCUUUUAAAUAAUAAAAUGAAAUGAGACUCGCCUAAUAAAAUGCAAUAAUUUCGGGGCCCUCAUUAAAUGUAUAUAUUAAAAUACAUAGAUUUAGGGACGUGCCGUUUAGUGAAUUUCACGGCUUUUCACAAAAUAAUAACAUGUUAGUCUCUUUAGGCGCGUAUUUUAAUAACAUUACCUCCCUAAACUCGGGUGCGCAUUUAUGUGACCCAAAUCCAAAUCUCAACGAUGUUAAAAUAUGUCAAAAACUACGAGUGCAUUUAUGUGACGUGGUUCAAGACUUGUUUCAAUAACGUUGCAAUUUUCUUUAAAAAAUAAAUAAAAAACAGUUAAAGUUAAAAUUUGCGCAUAAGUUCAUAAUUAUUAAAAUCAGAUAAUUAAAGCUAAAUAUCAACGAUGUUAAAAUAUGUCAAAAACUACGAGUGCAUUUAUGUGACGUGGUUCAAGACUUAUUUCAAUGACGUUGCAAUUUUAUUAAAAAAUAAAUAAAAACGGUUAAAGUUAAAAUUUGCGCAUAAGUUCAUAAUUAUUAAAAUCAGAUAAUUAAAGCCAAAUAUAAUAAUUGAGCGACCAUGCUAUAAUCACGGAACUCGGGAAUGCCUAACACCUUCUCCUAGGUUAACAGAAUUCCUUACUCGGAUUUCUGGUUUGCGGACUGUAAUACACAGUCAAUCUUUUCCUCGAUUCGGGAUUCAACCGGUAACUUGGGACACCAUAAAUCUCCCAAGUGGAGACUCUUAAUCUUUAAUAAUAAAUCUCAUUUGUUUAUCCUUUAAUUGGAAAAACUCUCUUACGCCCCUCCGAGGGAAGGAAAAAGAAGGUGUGACAUCACCACUGGUCAGCAUUAUAAGCCACGUCUUGGCUUCGGUUUUUAUGCACAAACAACAGUGUCGAGUAUGAAGCCUGCAUUAUGGGUAUGAACAUGGAAAUCAACCAAGAUGUCAAAGAAUUUUUAAUCGUGGGAGAUUCAGAUCUGAUUAUCCAACAAGCUCAAGGAGAAUGGGAGACCCGGGAUGUCAAGCUUAUUCCUUACUUCAAGCACGUGGAGGAACUUAGCAGGCGAUUCAAGUCAAUAGAUUUCAAGUCCAUCCCUCGUUGUCACAAUGAACUGGCCGAUGCACUUGCUACUUUGGUCUCGAUGCUGCCAUACGCAGGUAAUGCCCAUAUUGAUCCAUUGGAAAUCCAAAUCCGGAAAAGCACAGUUAAUGCAAUACGGUUGAGGCAGAACCAAAUAUUUAGCCAUUGUAUCAUGAUAUAAAGAGGUUUUAUGAAAACUAAAGAAUAUCCCGAGCAAGCCGGCGGACACCAAAAGAGAACCAUUAGACGGUACCCAGGUGGUUUCUUUUUGAGUGGUGAUGUCUUCUACAAAAGGACUCUGGAUCUCAACUUUAAGGUGUGUUGAUGCCAAAGAGGCCGGAAGAAUCAUGUAUGAAGUGCACACAGGAAUGUGUGGGCCCCACAUGAACGGCUAUCUUUUGGCAAAGAAGAUCCUCCAAGCAGGUUAUUACUGGAUGACUAUGGAAAAGAUUGCUUCAGUUUCGUCUGGAAAUGUCAUUAGUGUCAGGUGCACGGUGAUUUGAUUCAUGCACUGCCUACAAAACUGAAGCGAAUGGCCGCACUCUGCCAUGGACAGUUGUAUCAACAAAGAAUGGUUUGUGCCUACAACAAGAAAAUGCGGCCUAAAAACUUUGAAGUGGGGCAACUCAUUUUAAGGCGUAUUCUUCCCAAUCAUCAGGAAGCAAAAGAAAAUUUUUCUCCUAAUUGGAAAGGCCCAUACAUUAUUAGAAAAUUGGUUCAAAAGGGGCAUUAUAUCUGGGAGACAUUGAAGGAAAUGGCCCUGAAACAGCUGUAAAUGCAGAUGCAGUCAAGAGGUACUAUGUCUAAUCCUUCUGCAGAAAUAACAUUAUCCGAUUGGGAUGAUGAAGACUUUCAUUCUCGCUACCCCAAACACUCAAAUCCUUUGCUAACCCUUUGAUCCGGUUACCUUUCUUUCAUUACCCUCUUUGGAACUUGAAGAUGUUUUGAAAAAAAUUCAAAAGAAAAGAAAAGAAAAGAAAAAGAAAAAACUACAACAAAACAAUAAAAACAAAAUGUUUCCCUGAACUACGUUCGACUUGAUUCUGAAAGGAUACGUAGGCAUCCUCUCUCUGGGGUUUAGUCAUAACAAAAUAAAAAUCCAAUUUCCCCCAACUCUGAAACUGCGGCAGAUAUUAUAAUAGUUCGGCGAUGAUCCAACCUGAAUAGUUCCAAAGUUGUAAUUCGAUCCACGUUAUUUUUACCCAAACUCGUUCAAGUCCUUCCGACCAAUCAAUAUGAGGUUUUCAAAAUCAAAGAAUGCAGUUGUUUGGAUCCGAUGUAAUCAAGAUAAGAGAAAUAAAAUGAGAGAGUCUUAUUGGUGAAAACCUACGUGCAUCGUGAGGCAACGGUGAGCAGAGAAACUAAAAAAAUGAGAGAGUCUUGUUAGUUCAAGAGCACUAUAAGGCGACAAUGAGAAGAGAAAUGAGAGAGGUCAAUUGGCGAAAACCCGCACAGGGCACCGUUGAUCGAAAAGACGAAACCCCUCACCACCAUUGAUACUAAUAGAGUCCUCGCAAGGUUUCUCGGUUUUUAAACAUGGGUAACAAUGGGUUUAUGAGAGAGUAGAUAGUUGUGCAGAUCAGGUAUCCAGUCUAAAAAGCAUGUCAUGUCUAUUGAAGUAUGCAUGCACUCCAGAUAUGUCAUUCUUUCCUCCCCGGAAGGGACAUUUCUCCCUAAAUUCACUUUCUUGUCCUUUGUUUACUUUUCUUUGAAUCCCUUUCGCUCUAACUCUGUUCCGAAACUAACACAAAAAAAGGUGGAAAGAUUGGUUUUACAGGGUUCGCUUAAUAAAAGCCAAGUCCAAAGAAAAGUACCCAGCCUCAGCGGUUGCAUCAAGUCGAUCCCCACUGGCCAUGAUGGUCGAUGCUCUAAUAUCAAAGUUAUUGAAAAUGAAAAGAAAUCCAAAGUCAAAAGCCCCUAGAGAUAGAAUAAGGUGAAAGGUCCAAAGCCCUAUACGGGUGAACCUUCAUGAGAAAUUUUGGAAAUAGUUGAGUUUCUCGAUUUUAGAAGAAAGAGCAGCUUUCAGAAAAGCCAGCGAGCAACAGAGGUUCUCACCAAAAGAAAGGCCAAGAUCAAGUGAUAAAAAAUGAUCAUGGCCACAAAAUCAACCACUGUUUCAAACUAACAAUUGUUCUUUGAUUGAAAAUUUUUGAAACAAGUACAAUCCAAAACAACCAUGCAAGAAGCAGGUGCAACCAAAGAGGAAAAAGAAAUGUGCAAGUGCUAGAAACAGCUUUGCAACAACAAUCCAUAAAAGGAAAGUCCUGUCCAAAUUUUUUCUUGCAUUUACCCAUUCCAUGAAAUGAAAUAAAAAAAGGAAAAUGAAAUGAAAAAGAGAGAUAAGAAGAGAAUCCAAAAAAUGGCAGUUCAGAAUCCCCAAUCUCAAUCUUUUACCCUUUUGCCAACAUAUGGCUCUAAUCCGUAGUUGAGAUUUUAGAUAUAGAGUCUCCAAUCCCUAGUCGCCUUUUGCCAACAUAGAGAUCCAAUCCCUAAUUGAGAUUUUAGACAUAGGGCUUCCAUUCCUUAGUCGCCUUUUGCCAACAUAGGGCUCUAAUCCCUAGUUGAGAUUAUUUUUAGAUGUAGGGUCUCCAUCCCCUAUCCUUUUUCCAACAUAGGGAUCCAAUCCCUAGUUGAGAUUAUUUUCAGAUAUAAGGUCUCCAUACCCUAGUUGCCUUUUGCCAACAUAGGUCUCCAAUAGCUAGUUGAAAUUUUUAGACAUAGGGUCUCCAUACCCUAGUCGCAUUUUUCCAACAUAGGACUCCAAUCCCUAGUUGAGAUUUUUAGACACAGGGCCUCCAUCCCCUAGUAGCAUUUUGCCAACAUAAAAUCUCCAAUCCCUAGUUGAGAUUUUAGACAUAAGGUCUCCAUCCCCUAGUUUCCCUUUGGCAACAUAGGGUCUCCAACCCCUAGUUGAGAUUUUUAGACAUAGGGUCUCCAUCCUCUAAUCGCCUUUCGCCAACAUAGCACAUCCACUCCCUAGUUGAGGUUAUGUUUGAUAUAGGGCUCCACUCCCUAAUCUCUUUAUCCUAAAGACACAUGAUCCUUAUUUUAUUACUUUCAAUAGAGAAAUAGUUCAGAUUUUAGUUACAAAUAACUCACGAGAUUUUCCUAGUGAAAACUGGGACAGAAAAAUUUCAUUCAUUUGUGUGUUUUGGUGUUUGAGUAGGUUUGACCUCGAG